UUAAUAUUUCCGUACUUGGUAUAAUUGCGAUGGGGGGACGGAGCAGGCUAAGCAAGCAUGGCGAUGGUAGUCCAUGUGAAAGUGUGUAGGCUAGUGACUUAGGUAAAUCCGGGUUGCUGUUAGGCUGAGACACGAGACGAGUCACCAAGGUGAUGAAGUUGCUGAUGCCAUACUUCCAGGAAAAGCCUCUAAGCUUCAGAUUAUACCGAAUCGUACCCCAAACCGACACAGGUGGGUGGGGUGAGAAUCCUAAGGCGCUUGAGAGAACUCGGG
Molecule: ribosomal RNA, 273 nt
Filed under: uncultured eukaryote
Lineage: Eukaryota
Description: partial Bacterial large subunit ribosomal RNA
Rfam family: Bacterial large subunit ribosomal RNA
Source: RNAcentral